Polypterus senegalus (gray bichir) is the source of this 363-nucleotide long non-coding RNA. RefSeq lists it as uncharacterized. The record is from RefSeq and is a predicted model, not a curated record. The transcript has 4 exons. NCBI's taxonomy places the organism in Eukaryota, Metazoa, Chordata, Cladistia, Polypteriformes, Polypteridae.
AGAGUACUGGUGUCCAUGGAAAAUGAAAUUAUUUGCAGAAAAAUAAAAAUAUAUAACACUAUCGUCAAGUACAUUCAAAUGAAAUUGGAUCAAGUUUAUAAAGAUGCAUAUAAAAUGGGAGGCCAAAAUUCAAUGAGUAGCAUGCAGACGAUGUUUAGAAACAAAGUGAAAGAAUGCCAAAACAUCAUGUUCAAAGAAGCAAUAGAAAAAUGCUGGCUGAAUUUGCUGAACUGAAGAAAUUUGUGAUAACUACUAUAGAAGGUAAUAUGGAAGUAUCUAUGAAACUGGCACUGAAACAGUUUCCAGACGGAUUGAUUCUACCAGAUUCAAGCAAGGAACUGGAAAAGAUGAAGACACUUUGUA